This 253-nucleotide ribosomal RNA is filed under the name uncultured bacterium. Its description in RNAcentral is "partial 16S ribosomal RNA". It matches the Rfam family "Bacterial small subunit ribosomal RNA", at positions 524 to 776 of the family's 1533-position model. The record is from RNAcentral.
UACGAAGGGGGCUAGCGUUGUUCGGAUUUACUGGGCGUAAAGCGCAUGUAGGCGGACCAUUAAGUUGGGGGUGAAAUCACGAGGCUCAACCUCGGAAUUGCCUCCAAAACUGGCGGUCUGGUGCAGAAGAGAGGCGAGUGGAAUUCCGAGUGUAGAGGUGAAAUUUGUAGAUAUUCGGAGGAACACCAGUGGCGAAGGCGACUCGCUGGCUUCUUGCUGACGCCGAGAUGCCAAUGCGUGGGGUGCAAACAGU